GGCAGCCAUUUUGCUCCCCUGAGAGAAGGGCCUGAAGUUAGAGCCCACAGGAAGAGGCAGAGCUGAGAGGGAAAAAAACACCAAGUCUUGUGACACUGAGCAGUGGAAUCUGCCUGUCCUCCUCUGGACAUUUCAGUAGUUUAGUCAUUCAGUUCCCUUUCUUGCUUCAUCUGGUGUUGAGUUUUUCUGUCACUUAUUGCAAAGAGUCCUAAUUGAUGUGAACAGAAGGGAGAGGUUUCCUUUUUUUCUCUCUCUCUGAUCCAAAAUGACUGCUGCAUCAGUAAACACUUGGGAGUGAAGCAGGCGCUGUAGACCAUCGCCCGGGAAUGCCUACGUCUCACCAGCACCACGUGCCUUAC
RNAcentral lists this long non-coding RNA (359 nucleotides) under Homo sapiens (human). RNAcentral's name for it is "HSALNT0353663". The record is from RNAcentral. Lineage: Eukaryota; Metazoa; Chordata; Mammalia; Primates; Hominidae.